RNAcentral lists this ribosomal RNA (301 nucleotides) under uncultured bacterium. RNAcentral describes it as "partial 16S ribosomal RNA". It matches the Rfam family "Bacterial small subunit ribosomal RNA", at positions 509 to 807 of the family's 1533-position model. The record is from RNAcentral.
CAGUAGCCACGGUAAUACGGAGGGUGCAAGCGUUAUCCGGAUUUAUUGGGUUUAAAGGGUCCGUAGGCGGAUCUGUAAGUCAGUGGUGAAAUCUCACAGCUUAACUGUGAAACUGCCAUUGAUACUGCAGGUCUUGAGUAAAUUUGAAGUGGCUGGAAUAAGUAGUGUAGCGGUGAAAUGCAUAGAUAUUACUUAGAACACCAAUUGCGAAGGCAGGUCACUAAGAUUUAACUGACGCUGAUGGACGAAAGCGUGGGGAGCGAACAGGAUUAGAGACCCGCGUAGUCCCUGUCUCUUAUAC